AAUAAAUGGCAGUACUCAAACCCCCUCCCCCAAAAUGACCGCCUCUGUAUUUCAUUAAACGAACAACUGAGGUUUGUUUGACUUUGUUGUGCUUCUGCAGCAUAUAUGAUGCUUUAAAAAAAAGCAAUAUUGCGUCUGCUUUCACGACAAUUCAAUUUGCAACUAACAAAUACGAGUUACAUGCUAUAGGAAAUAGUUCUCAGUGAAUAAUUUAGUAACUGAUACUUUAAUUUUAGAUAAGGUAUUUUUAACUUAGGCUAGUUUAGCUUUACUGGAAAAGGACUUUUGUUAUAAAAAUCAUUGUGGCUCGGUAUUUGUGGUCUGUCAUAAUUUCAUACUUGGUAUCCUCGGUACAUCCUCGGUAAAGUUCGUAUAUUUUUUGGGUAUCUAACAGCUUAAGGAAAUACAGCAAGCUUCAGCUUUAAGCUUUGGCAUGAGUUGACUAUUUUCAGUUCUCGAGAUAAAGUCAAAUAAGUACUUUUGAAUAC
Molecule: non-coding RNA, 488 nt
Organism: Schizosaccharomyces pombe (fission yeast)
Lineage: Eukaryota; Fungi; Ascomycota; Schizosaccharomycetes; Schizosaccharomycetales; Schizosaccharomycetaceae
Source: the annotation of a GenBank genome assembly